GAUGAACGCUGGCGGCGUGCUUAACACAUGCAAGUCGAACGAAGCAUUUGCGACAGAUUUUUUCGGAAUGAAGUUGCUUAUGACUGAGUGGCGGACGGGUGAGUAACGCGUGGGUAACCUGCCUUGUACUGGGGGAUAGCAGCUGGAAACGGCUGGUAAUACCGCAUAAGCGCACAAUGUUGCAUGACAUGGUGUGAAAAACUCCGGUGGGAUAAGAUGGACCCGCGUCUGAUUGGCGAGUGGGUGAGAUAACAGCCCACCAAGGCGACGAUGAUUAGCCGAGCGGGGAAGGGGACCGGCCGGAUUGGGACUGCGGCACGGACCAGACUGCGACGGGGGGGAGCAGAAGGGUAUAUUACAGAAGGGAGGAAACUCUGAUACAGCGACGCCGGGUGAGUGAAGAAGUAAUUCGUUAUGUAAAGCUCUAUCAGCAGGGAAGAUAGUGACGGUACCUGACUAAGAAGCUCCGGCUAAAUACGUG
RNAcentral lists this ribosomal RNA (481 nucleotides) under uncultured bacterium. Its description in RNAcentral is "partial 16S ribosomal RNA". It matches the Rfam family "Bacterial small subunit ribosomal RNA", at positions 28 to 507 of the family's 1533-position model. The record is from RNAcentral.